This is a small RNA of 87 nucleotides. It matches the Rfam family "Flavo-1 RNA". The record is from Rfam.
AUGUAACCUGCAUUAGUGAUUGCAACGGUUAGCUUUUGGCGAGCGGAUGCAUCGAGCCAAAACUAAAAGUGGAAAGCACGACCGCGC